GUGAUAUAAACCAUUAUAUGAUUCUUUAAUAUCAGAACUGUUUUAAACUUGAUAGCCUGUUGAAACUUUAUUUUGUUUUCAAAGUGUAACUUUGAUUGCAGUCAUUAGUUUAAUUUAGAUUUUUGAUGCUUGUAGCUGGUCUGUCACUGAAGUUUCUGACUUCACUGAGGGUAGAGAAUGGGAUUUGAGAAAUUCAAGUUUGAUUUGUGCUUUUUUGCUGUGCUCAGAGUGGUGCCCUCCCUUUAGUAGUCCGUCUCAUUGAACUGCAGAAGGUGGGAAAAGAGUGAACAAGGAAUUGCAGGCAGAGAAGAAGCCUCUUGUUCAGCACUCAGUUACAUUUCAAGUUAAGUAGAACUAUAAUUUGAGUAUAUAAAUAACUGUAAAAUACAUGAUGUUAGGCACAGAAAACUAAUGGACAAUUUUGACAAUUUUGGAUUUACUCCCCUUUUUCUUCUGCUCUAAGAUGGACUUUUAAUACUCAUUCUUCCCUUCAGGAGAUUGUAAAGAUUGGUGCUUGAGAAGGAUUUAGAAGUGACUACAUGAACUUCAGCUUCAUGUACUAGUUCCCUGUGUUCAAGAAACAUGUUCCUCUCUCAAGGCUAACAGUUUCUUUGCUCUGGAAUAAUAAGGACAGGGCUGUGAACAGGGAUACUCAUGCAGGUCUGAGGAAUCACUGCAGUCUGAGUGUGUGUAGGUGGCCUCUACCCAGACAAAAGGCAGAGGAACACGUACAGCCCUGACCCAGCAUCAUGUACAGCCCAACCAAAGGUAAUUUCUCCUAAAUAUGUUACAGAUGAACCUCAGAUAAUGUCUCUGAUUGGUUUUUGGUUUUUUUAAGCUACUGAAAGUAUUAGGAUAAGAGUUAACAUGGAAGAGGAAGAAGGGAAGGAGAAAUGGCUGGCUCUUGCAAUGGGGAACAGAUGAGGCUGCUACUCAGGAUAGCAGGGCAGACACCUGGAGCAUAACCCU
RNAcentral lists this long non-coding RNA (969 nucleotides) under Parus major (Great Tit). Its description in RNAcentral is "lncRNA (ENSPMJG00000008179.1)". The record is from RNAcentral. Lineage: Eukaryota; Metazoa; Chordata; Aves; Passeriformes; Paridae.